This 253-nucleotide ribosomal RNA is filed under the name uncultured bacterium. RNAcentral's name for it is "partial 16S ribosomal RNA". It matches the Rfam family "Bacterial small subunit ribosomal RNA", at positions 524 to 776 of the family's 1533-position model. The record is from RNAcentral.
UACGGAGGGUGCAAGCGUUGUUCGGAAUUACUGGGCGUAAAGCGGGUGUAGGCGGCCGCACAAGUCAGAUGUGAAAUCCCUGGGCCCAACCCAGGAACUGCAUUUGAUACUGCGUGGCUCGAGUCCCGGAGAGGAUGGCGGAAUUCCAGGUGUAGAGGUGAAAUUCGUAGAUAUCUGGAGGAACACCAGCGGCGAAGGCGGCCAUCUGGACGGUGACUGACGCUCAGACCCGAAAGCGUGGGGAGCAAACAGG